UAUGAUGCUGGUUGAUGGUUGACCCUAGG
RNAcentral lists this non-coding RNA (29 nucleotides) under Mus musculus (house mouse). The record is from RNAcentral. Lineage: Eukaryota; Metazoa; Chordata; Mammalia; Rodentia; Muridae.